RNAcentral lists this ribosomal RNA (292 nucleotides) under uncultured bacterium. RNAcentral describes it as "partial 16S ribosomal RNA". It matches the Rfam family "Bacterial small subunit ribosomal RNA", at positions 505 to 796 of the family's 1533-position model. The record is from RNAcentral.
GUGUCAGCAGCCGCGGUAAUACGGAGGGUGCGAGCGUUAUCCGGAAUUACUGGGUUUAAAGGGUGCGUAGGCGGCUAAGUAAGUCAGAAGUGAAAGUUUGCGGCUCAACCGUAAAAUUGCUUUUGAUACUGCUUAGCUGGAAUUAGGAUGAGGUCAGCGGAAUGUGGCAUGUAGCGGUGAAAUGCAUAGAUAUGCCAUAGAACACCAAUUGCGAAGGCAGCUGGCUAGACCUAUAUUGACGCUGAGGCACGAAAGCGUGGGGAGCGAACAGGAUUAGAUACCCUCGUAGUCC